UUCCCCUCUGUGCCAAGCCCAUGGAACAGCUCCUGUUAUUCCAGUGCUGAGCAUAGGAUGUGAAGGUGCUCUGAAGAGCUGGGAAGACUUUGUCAUUAUCCACUUGAAUUAUGGAGAGGGGAAGAGAGCUGCACGCAGAGAGUUUGCCAGCAGCAGUCACACAAGCACCAAAACCAGGCACACAAUCCUUGCAUGCUCCUGAAUAUUCCCUAAUGCCAGGAAAUGUUAUGUCUCAGCCUAUAGCUGGAAAUACGAGUGGACAUACAAAAAUAGGAACUGGUUCCUGUACUCUGGAAUUAAGGCCAUCUGCUGCAGGUCACACUUCACCUCUUAAAGAUCUGGCACAUUUUUCCUGGAUAAACCAAAGCAAAAAGGAAAGGGGUUUGUGAGUAGGAGAAUAGAUCAUGGAUUUGGCACCUGUGUCAAUCUAAGUGAUGCAAUUGAGAUGUUCCUCCACUGAAAUCCUACACUAGGAUUGUCAAUGGCAGAUAAAGA
Long non-coding RNA from Vidua chalybeata, 495 nucleotides. RefSeq lists it as uncharacterized. Lineage: Eukaryota; Metazoa; Chordata; Aves; Passeriformes; Viduidae. The transcript has 4 exons. The record is from RefSeq and is a predicted model, not a curated record.